Molecule: long non-coding RNA, 295 nt
Filed under: Anas platyrhynchos (mallard)
Lineage: Eukaryota; Metazoa; Chordata; Aves; Anseriformes; Anatidae
Description: lncRNA (ENSAPLG00020000016.1)
Source: RNAcentral
GUUAAGGUAUGUGCCAACAUCAUAUAGUCAGUGGAUACUGACAUCUAGCUCUGUAACUAGCUUUCUUUUCUCAUUUCUCAGACUCUUCCUCCAGGCUUCACUAUCCCCUGGUGGCACUGCCUGCAAGUGUCGCUGCUAUCAGUGGUGUUGGUGUGCUUUUAUGCUUAAUUUUCACGUGCAGAGCUUUCUGCUUACGUAAAUUGGCACGUGAGCCACCAGUACUGGUUGCAACUGAGAACUUCAGGUCCACACCAUCACAUAAAAACACACCUGAAGUCAACCCUCAUGUCUUAGA